GAUAAGGUGGCCGAGUGGUUAAGGUGAUGGACUGCUAAUCCAUUGAGUUCUGUACACACGGGUUCAAAUCCUGUCCUUGUCA
Alligator sinensis (Chinese alligator) is the source of this 82-nucleotide non-coding RNA. NCBI's taxonomy places the organism in Eukaryota, Metazoa, Chordata, Crocodylia, Alligatoridae. The record is from the annotation of a RefSeq genome assembly.